UCGCACGAGACUUUUCAUCGGACACAGGAGCAAUUCUUCGAAUGAACUGACUGAUUUGUAUUUACGACUCCGAUUGACACGCUCCGCUGGAGUUCGUUGAUUCAACUCAGUCAGUUCAUUCGAAGACUGGCUCCUGUGUCCGAACAGUCUUUAAGA
Marchantia polymorpha subsp. ruderalis is the source of this 156-nucleotide non-coding RNA. The record is from the annotation of a GenBank genome assembly. Lineage: Eukaryota; Viridiplantae; Streptophyta; Marchantiopsida; Marchantiales; Marchantiaceae.